ACUGAAUAGAUACCCUGGUAGUCCACGCCCUAAACGAUGUCUACUAGUUGUCGGUUUUAAUUAACUUGGUAAACGCAGCUAAACGCGUGAAAGUAGACCGCCGUGGGGAGUACGGUCGCAAGAAUUAAAACUCAAAGGAAUUGACGGGACCCGCACAAGCGGUGGAUGAUGUGGAUUAAUUCGAUGCAACGCGAAAAACCUUACCUACCUUGACAUGUACGGAAGCCACGAGAGAUCGAGGUGUGCUCGAAAGAGAGCCGUAACACAGGUGCUGCACGGCUGUCGUCAGCUCGUGUCGUGAGAUGUUGGGUUAAGUCCCGCAACGAGCGCAACCCUUGUCAUUAGUUGCUACGAAAGGGCACUCUAAUGAGACUGCCGGUGACAAACCGGAGGAAGGUGGGGAUGACGUCAAGUCCUCAUGGCCCUUAUGGGUAGGGCUUCACACGUCAUACAAUGGUACAUACAGAGGGCCGCCAACCCGCGAGGGGGAGCUAAUCCCAGAAAAGUGUAUCGUAGUCCGGAUUGUAGUCUGCAACUCGACUGCA
Molecule: ribosomal RNA, 545 nt
Filed under: uncultured bacterium
Lineage: Bacteria
Description: bacterial SSU rRNA
Rfam family: Bacterial small subunit ribosomal RNA
Source: RNAcentral